Long non-coding RNA from Loxodonta africana (African savanna elephant), 4285 nucleotides. RefSeq lists it as uncharacterized. Lineage: Eukaryota; Metazoa; Chordata; Mammalia; Proboscidea; Elephantidae. The record is from RefSeq and is a predicted model, not a curated record. The transcript is spliced from 2 exons.
GACCCGGAAGUACCGACCUCAAAAACACCCUUUCCGCUUCCGGGUCCCCACAGCCUUCUCCCCCCCCCCCUUUUUUUUAAAAAGUGUCCCGCCGAAGGUUGGGGGGAAAGGAAAAAAAGAAAGAAAAAAGAGGAAUGAAAUCAACAAAAUACGCAACGCAAAAAAAGUCCAGAUUUUCGCGGGGUUUUGUCAACUUCGCCACAGCCGCGCGCAAGUCGACGUCAUCACGUGAAGCUAUGCCCCGCCCUUACUCUCUGCCCCGCCGCGGUUUUCAGGAGCGCCGACUUUUCGCCGCGGAAGCGGCCACUGGGGUUUGCGGAGGCGGGAGGCCUGACGCUCCAGCCCCGCCCCACUCGGGGUGCCGCGCGCGGGCGUAAUGGCCCCACCCCAUGGGCCAGAGAAGGAAGCGGAAAAAGCGGCAUGUGGAGUGGAAAGACUACGGCGCAACUGGGUGCGCUCCCCUCCAAAAAAUGGUGGGGAAGCAAGAGCUUCUGCUGCUCCGGGGUUGGAAGGACACUCGGUACCUGGACGCUGGGCCAGCGGCUCCGCGCGGGUACGCAGCGCUCAAACCAGGGAGGCGGAGCCUGCUUUCCCGAGAUACUACUUCCCAAGCUAUGGGCAGAGGAUUUUGCCGUUAAGAGGAAAAUAGUGUCCGGGUUCAUCUAGGCAGUGGGAUGCUUAAAUACCAAGAGAAUGACUUUAAAUGCUGCUGGAUGGAACUGCCACUCACCGCUAGAAAUCGGGGAUCGACAGCAAACUCUGGAUGACCCUGUAACCACAUCUCCAGUUCAGCCCGGCGAGGGGCAUCCUCACCCACCAGCAAAGUACCAUCCACCUUAUUGAUGACAGGGAUCCGGGUCUCCAGGUCCACAUCAAGGUGAUUAGGCUCUUCCAUGCACUCCACCUCCAGCUGCAAACCCAGAAUCCACCCCCAUGAGCAUAUACUCUUCUUUGGGGCAGGAAGAGAGAGGGAGUGGAGCCAUUGGUAGCCAUAAGAUAACUAAAAUAUCUUCCAGUCCCUCAAUCCCAACUGCCUUCAUCAAUUACUGGGAAUAAAAAGAUCUUAUCUAAUCAUCGUGUUAAAAAGCUUCACCACCACUCACCUCCACAAGCUUCUUUCUGUUCCCCUUCUUCUUGUGGAACAGUGGAUGUCCAUCUCCCAUUACUCCAUUAGCCAUCAGCUUGUGCUUCUGGAAUGUUAACUUCAAUCCUUCCUCCUAGGAAGACACGCCACACACCCGAGACAUCAUAUAGCACAGGUUUUUAAAGUACAGAGUAAAUCUUGGGGGACCUGGGCUAAGGGUCACCCCCUUGGAUCAAUGAUGGUGAAAAGAAAAGCCAUCUGACUAAAGGGUAGAAGUUGGAAAUAUGAUUAAACUUAUAUACUUUUUUCCUUAGAAAGAUUUCGUUUGUGAACCUACUGGCCCUCAGGUAGAUUUAAAAGAAGUAGAAUUUACCUCAGUAACACCCAAUGCAGGGUAAAACCCCCUACCUGGUGUCUCAGUACUGGCAUUGCAACCAAUACCCAAUGCAGGGUAAACCCCCCUAACCUGGUGUCUCAGUACUAGCAUGGCAACUCAUCACAGGGGCAAAAUCCCGAUAGUGCUGUCAUAUACUAAUUUAAGAACUUUUCUUGUUUAAGUACUCAAUGGCCAAUUAAUAUGGUUCAAAGCAAAAAAAUAACACUGAUAUAAUUCAGGCAGGAAUGAUUCCUUUUAUUUUUAAUAAGGCCCACAAUGCUUAAGUAUUGUUUUAACAGCCUUCUCACAAUUUUAUUUAGCUUUUAAAAACCAGCUUUAGAACUAGAAAUGAGUCAACCAAAAAGAAUCCUUUUGUCAAUUAAAUUUUCUUCAAAAAUAUGACUUAUUUUAAUCGAGUUCUCAUGUUAUACAAGUUAAGAACUCUUCCCUUACUUGAACAACUUUUCCUAAUCUUUGUGACUCUAUAACCGUUUUUUUCCCCUCCUCUUCACAGUUCUACCCUGACGUGUGGAGUUGCCGUGAGCCAGCGUUGACUUGACAGCAACGAGUAUGGCAAAUUUAGCUAAUCAAAUGAGUUCAGUAUCCUGUUAGUGAAACUAUUAGCGAGAAUUACAGCCUCCUUCCUCCCUUCCCAGUGCCUAAAUGCUGGGCUUACAUCUUUGAUCUGAACUGUAAACUCCUUCUCAUCCAUGCCUCGGCGAAGUUUGGUGAACUGGGCUGCUGCUGCACUGACCGCAGAUGCUUCCUCCUCUGCCAUGGAAGCUGCACUGCUGCUUCGUGGCGUGGGGACUGGAGAGUCACCAUAUUCUCCGGGGGUCAAUGAGGGACUGUCUAGCAAGUGGUUGCCUGGCCCCAGAAUUCCUCCUGUUACCAUUUCCUGGCUCCGACGGCUAGAAGGCCACUUCCCUGAGAGUACAGCCUGGCAGACGAGGUCAAUACGGUUUAUCAAGACACGAUCCUGAUGGGGAAAAACAAAUCAAUACUGGUUUUAGGGCCUGAGAACCUGUCUGUGAUCCUGUGCAAACAAUAGUGCUGUCAUUACUAGUGUGGGUAAAAAUCAAAAGGCAGAAGGAUGGAGGUAAUCCAAUCUAUCAGAUCACUUAUGUCAGCCUUGAGGACUUCUAUGAAAAAGCAUGUAGCACUAAAUGCAAUUAAUAAAGAAAACUGGAACCUCUGUUCUUUGUUCCCUAUAUAUAAUGUUACAUUGUAUUUCUGAACUUGACAUGUCCAGGAAUGAGGCUGUUACCUUGGGCCACUCAGAGGCUCUUUGUCUUUCCUGAAGCAUCAGAAGCUCCGGGGUCAUUUGUUCUCCAUCUUCAUUUGGGAAUCCAUCUUGGGACAUAGUGAGGGACAGGAGACUCUCUUCAUCAUAGAGCUUUGAGCGGGAUGGGUCAGCAGCUGGAGAUCACAUAGAAUGUGUGAGCAAAGAUGGAAGAAGAAAGUUAUAUAGGAAUGGCAUUAUGUGGGCCAUAAAUGAAGGGCCCCAAACUAACGUAACUCUUUUGACAUUCUAUUAAAUCAAAAUCUGAGUCUCUGUCAGAGGAUGCAUUAGAAAAAAAAGGAAAGAGCAGAGAGGUGGAAAAUAGGUAAGAGGGCCAACUACUGUCACAUGCACUCACUUAGCUUCUCUUCCUUCUCGUCCUCACUCUCAUCAGUGCUGGAGCUGGAGCUGGAUGAGGAUGAGGAAGAAGAGGAUGACGGUGACAGCUUGCUCAAGUCCAGCUCAGAGUCUGAAUCGUCCUCGUCCUCCAGUUUGACUGGUGGAACACUCCGAGAAACCAGAGGUGCAGUAUCAGAGGAGGUUACUCGCAUCUCAUAGUCUUGUGGGGUUGGUCGGCUCCUGCCCACUACCUCAUGCUCUAGCUUUAAGGUUAGACUCUCCAGACUGGGGACCUGGGCAGCUGUCUCCUCAGGUGGCUUUUCAACAGGAGCCUCUAGGCGCAGGGGCAGUGGUGAGGCAGUGCGCGAGGUAUACUGCUGGUGUAGCAGUGGAGUAGAGCAGCGUGAUAGGGAUGGAGCUGGUGCUCCUGCCUGAUAGUUCUGCAUAUAAUUCAUACGGGCAGCCAGAAAAGAGAAGUCUGGGUCCUGCAUAAUGUUGCAGUCUGUUUGGCUCACCCCAUGGCGGGCUGCCCCUCGUAGAAGUUCUCCAUCAUGCCGAAUAGGCUCCCACCAUUUGGGCAACUCAGGACCUGGAGGCUGACAUAAUGACAGCCUGUCUUCCAAAAGAGGAUGGCACAAAACUUGUUCCCGUAAGCGCCGAAGCAAUUCAAUACGGUAGAGAGUCCGCGAGGCCCUCUCUUCAGUGAUGGGCUCAAUGAACAGAUUAGGGUCUGGGGGUUCUGCAAGAGAUAGGGUGGAAGGAAAAAUGAACCAAGAGUUGGUUCUGUUGCCAUCCACUCUCAGUCACCCUAGAAUCUCCAAGUCUCACUCACCAUCACCAGCUGCAGGGGGAAGACGGCACACCUGGCGGCACAUGGCCACGAAGCCAUGGAAGUACUUGGUAAGGCUUUCGUCUGUUUUUUUGUCCAGUCGGGCAAAAGUGCGGAAGCGAUCCCAAUGAAACUGCAUAGUGUCAGGGUCAUACUCCACACCAAAGGUUGAAACAACUCGAUAGAAAUCAGUUUGUUCACGCCUUGUCCAUCUACAAAGGAAAAAGGAACAUGGAAACAGUGAUCAGGAGACCUCAGGAAAACUGGUUACUUCUUAGAGUAGCUUCAAAUACGCAUGACCCAAAGACGGCCAAUGUUGAAUGCAGAGGCAAAAAAAAAAAAGGUCCAGAAGACAGCAAAAGAAGUAGUAAGAGA